This 274-nucleotide ribosomal RNA is filed under the name uncultured bacterium. RNAcentral describes it as "partial 16S ribosomal RNA". It matches the Rfam family "Bacterial small subunit ribosomal RNA", at positions 523 to 796 of the family's 1533-position model. The record is from RNAcentral.
AUACGGAGGGUGCAAGCGUUAAUCGGAAUUACUGGGCGUAAAGAGUACGUAGGUGGUUUGUUAAGUCAGAUGUGAAAGCCCCGGGCUCAUCCUGGGAACUGCAUUUGAAACUGGCAAGCUAGAGUAUGGUAGAGGGGGGUAGAAUUUCUAGUGUAGCGGUGAAAUGCGUAGAUAUUAGAAGGAAUACCAGUGGCGAAGGCGGCCCCCUGGACCAAUACUGACACUGAGGUACGAAAGCGUGGGUAGCGAACAGGAUUAGAAACCCUAGUAGUCC